RNAcentral lists this long non-coding RNA (3024 nucleotides) under Callithrix jacchus (white-tufted-ear marmoset). Its description in RNAcentral is "lncRNA (ENSCJAG00000076734.1)". The record is from RNAcentral. Lineage: Eukaryota; Metazoa; Chordata; Mammalia; Primates; Cebidae.
AUGGUCCUCUCCCCGCCCUCCUCCGGCGCGACUGAGGCGGCUCCGGGAGCUCCCCGGCGGGCACGGGAGCCGGUGGGCCUUCCGAGAGCAGCGAGGGGGCGGCGCCGGGGUGUCCCCGGCCCGGCGGCCGGAUCCCUCCCAGGCGCGGGCGGCGGCCGCCGGGCGGUGCGGAGCGGGCGGUGGCUUUGUGUGCGCACGGGCGGUCCUUGGUGCGAGGGGAGAAGCGCGGCGCGCCUGGGCGGGAGAGGACGCGCUGCUCGCAGGGCAACCUUGCUUCUGCUCUGGCCGCUGGCUGGCGGGAGGGUCUCGAAGGCCUUCGGCUCGCGGCGACCCCUCCUCCUCGCCCGCGGCAGCCCCCUCCUCGCCGGCUCCGCUCCUGACAGAUGGCGCAAGUGCAACGACGCGCCGCCGCCACCACCGCGGCUGCUCGCUGCUACUCUCGCUGAUGCUCGGCCCCUCCAGCUCCGGAGGGGAGCGAGGAGGAGGCGGGGCGCGCCCCGAGAGUGGCAGGCCCCGCUGCCCUAUCAAAGAGCCCCUUGGGAGCUGCGGGCCGCAACCAUUGGCGCCUGGGGCGUGGGCGGGACGGCAGUGGGUGGGGCCGCAGAGUGGGUUGAGCGUUACUGUGGCAGCGGGCAUCCCAGGGUGCGUGCGGUGCAGGGUGUGCAAGAGGAUGCGAGGUUGGAGGAGGAGUUCAUGGUUUUCUACCUCGUCUAUCGUCUCUUGUCUUCAGAAAAGAGGAUCUCGGCUUUCUAUUUAACUGGAUACUCAUUAAGUCUCAGCCCGCAGCAGCAGGAUGCCUUCCCCAUCCAAGAAGGAAGGGCUCCAGCCGGGAAAAGGACAGAGAGCUUCGAGAGAAGCCUGGAGGCAGUCGGAGAUGGACCUCGGCAGGGGCUGCACUUUGCAAAGCUGCUUUUCCCUCUUGGAGGAGAAAGAGGAGGAUCAGAGGGCUGAAGUUCCCUCUGAGCACUUCUAACACCUACUUUGGACUUUAUCCCUACCAAAUAAGACUGUAAUGUGCAGUUGGCAUGCCCAUAUUAGUUAAUUCAAUUGGAAAAGAAGAAAAAAAAAGACCUACUUACUCACAAGAUUUAGAAACAAAAGCCCAGGACUGUGGCAGCAUAAGGACCAAGUGAUCAUAACUGCCAUCGUCUUCCUUUCAAAUGAAAUGUAAUCGUAUUUUUGCUCACACAUGCUCAGGGAAUUUCUGGCAAGAUACCCAAUUAACUACUGUCAAUGAUUACCUCUGGGGAAGGGUCCUAGGCCAAUAGCAGGCUGCAGGGAAUUUUACCUUUUGCUUAAUACCCUCAGUUCUGUUAGAGCUUUUAAUAAAAUCUGUAUGUCAUUUUUAUUUUUAAAAACUAACAAUUCAGCUUUUAAGCUAUUGAAUGUUCUAAUUUUUAAAAUGAACUACUUUGUUACUUAACAUAAAGAUAAGUGAGAUAAACAGAAAGGUGUAAAAGAAAUAUUUUUUUCUAGAGUUUCCGCUCCUCUAUUCCAAGACUCAAAGGCCAGAUAUAUUCAUUCAGAUAGAAAGAUGGACAAUGUGAUGGGCUGCUUAGAAACAGGAGAAUUUGAAUUUGAACACAGUGCUACAAACCUGAAUGCAUUUUAUUAGAUUUCUUCCUCUUCUUUCUUUUUCUGUUCCUGGUUUUUCCUAAUUUUCUUUUGAUUAGCAGUAUGGCCUUCCUAUAACAAAGAGGAGUUUCAGGCCUUGCUUUCCAGUAUCCCAUUGUUUCCCUCAGUUCCCGAGGCAGCCAUCUCACCGGACUGCAUGAAUGGUUUUGGUGAGAUUUCUUCUCUAUGUUUCAAUUUCUGCAUGUAAAUUGAAAACUAAAAAGCACCUGGGUUAGACUGAACAAAGGCUUGAAAUAGAUGCAUCCCCUUCCAUUUGGAGCCCUGAAUAAAAGUCAUGGCUUAGAAGAAGGAAUGGAAGAGAAGAGGGAGAGAAGGAGAGAAGAGAAACAAAAUGCAUGGGCAUAGUCUCAUUUUACAAUUAAAUAAGGACAUUUUAAUGGCUAUAAGAAUAUUCUCUAGAUGAUAGAGCAACACCACAAGUAUUUCUUGAUUUCUACAGUUGAAGUGCUGCUUAGAGGGAAUCUAUUUCUUUUGUAAAAUUAUAUAAGAAUUUAUAGGCCCAUGAGGAGUAUCCCAUUUAAAGGACUCUAAUUAGGAAUAUUUUUGUAAAACUCGUUUCAUUAAUUAUCUCCUUUCUUUUACAUCCCUUCAGCCUUUUACAUUCCAUUAGUUCUUCCUUCUCAUCAAACAGACUUAUUUUGACAUUUUCAUCCUAAAACAAAGAAAGAAAACUCUCUCAUGUCUUCUCUAGCUACUGUCCUCUCUCCUUCCCUUCACAGCUAAGUGCCUUCAAAAGGAUGGUCUCCCCUAGGUAACCAACCUAUUUUAGAAAGAUUUGGGAAAAUGGAAAAGAAAUAAGAAGACAAGUGUAGAGGCACGAAGGCGCUUAUCAUUUUUUUGCCCAAAUGAUCUUCCUGCAUCUACAACUGUCCUCUUAACUUCUUUUCUAUAUUCCCAAAUAUUUCUAAAAUGCAAAUGUGAUUAUGUCACUUGUUCAUUUAAAAAUCUCUACUCCCUGUUGCUUGUGGGACAACAUCCAAAUUCCUCAGCAUGACACCCUACACUAGGUACUAGAAAAUAUACUGGGUACUCAUAACAGAUUGUGCUCUGUCCUUCACAAACAUCCAUAUCAGCCACGUUGUUUGUACGUUGUUUGUACAUGUUCCCAGAGCAUGCUGGCUGUUCUCAGGCCUUUGUACCUUUGUAUACGUUCUUCCCUUUUCCUGGAAUGUUCUUCCUCCUUUCAACUGCAUUUUCUUUAAGACCUAGCUCAAUGUCAUGUUGACCAGAAAGCUUUUGCUGAACUACCAGCGUGGGUGAGGUAUUCUCCUGUGACGUAUCCUCUCGUGUAGUACUCACUGCAUGAGUUAUGCUCCUGUAUACUACAGGCACUCAAUAAGUAUUUAUUAAACGAAUUAACUAAUGAAUGAUGACUAUAAUCUCAUUUAU